Molecule: ribosomal RNA, 777 nt
Filed under: uncultured bacterium
Lineage: Bacteria
Description: bacterial SSU rRNA
Rfam family: Bacterial small subunit ribosomal RNA
Source: RNAcentral
AGAGUUUGAUCCUGGCUCAGGAUGAACGCUGGCGGUAUGCUUAACACAUGCAAGUCGAACGGGGGGAGACCUUUAGGGGUUGAACCUAGUGGCGGACGGGUGAGUAACGCGUGAGAACCUGCCUUCAAGACUGGAACAACAGUUGGAAACGACUGCUAAUACCCGAUAAGCCGAAAGGUGAAAGAUUUAUCGCUUGGAGAGGGGCUUGCGUCUGAUUAGCUAGUUGGUGGGGUAAAUGCCUACCAAGGCGACGAUCAGUAGCUGGUCUGAGAGGAUGAGCAGCCACACUGGGACUGAGACACGGUCCAGACUCCUACGGGAGGCAGCAGUGGGGAAUAUUGCACAAUGGGCGCAAGCCUGAUGCAGCCAUGCCGCGUGUGUGAAGAAGGCCUGCGGGUUGUAAAGCACUUUCAGCGGGGAAGAAAAGCGGAUGGUCAAUACCCAUUCGUCUUGACGUUACUCGCAGAAGAAGCACCGGCUAACUCCGUGCCAGCAGCCGCGGUAAUACGGAGGGUGCGAGCGUUAAUCGGAAUUACUGGGCGUAAAGCGCGCGUAGGCGGCGCGAUCAGUCUGCCGUGAAAUCCCCGGGCUCAACCUGGGAAUGGCGGUGGAUACUGUCGAGCUAGAGUGUGAGAGAGGGGGGUGGAAUUCCAGGUGUAGCGGUGAAAUGCGUAGAGAUCUGGAGGAACACCAGUGGCGAAGGCGGCCCCCUGGUUCAACACUGACGCUGAGGUGCGAAAGCGUGGGUAGCAAACAGGAUUAGAUACCCUGGUAGUC